CGGUACAUUUCUAGCUUGCUAGAAGAUGACGAGCGGCGGACGGGUGAGUAAUGCUUGGGAAUAUGCCUUAUGGUGGGGGACAACAGUUGGAAACGACUGCUAAUACCGCAUAACGUCUACGGACCAAAGGGGGGGAUCUUCGGACCUCCCGCCAUUUGAUUAGCCCAAGUGAGAUUAGCUAGUUGGUAAGGUAAUGGCUUACCAAGGCGACGAUCUCUAGCUGGUUUGAGAGGAUGAUCAGCCACACUGGGACUGAGACACGGCCCAGACUCCUACGGGAGGCAGCAGUGGGGAAUAUUGCACAAUGGGCGAAAGCCUGAUGCAGCCAUGCCGCGUGUGUGAAGAAGGCCUUCGGGUUGUAAAGCACUUUCAGUAAGGAGGAAAGGGUAGUCGUUAAUAGCGGCUAUCUGUGACGUUACUUACAGAAGAAGCACCGGCUAACUUCGUGCCAGCAGCCGCGGUAAUACGAGGGGUGCAAGCGUUAAUCGGAAUUACUGGGCGUAAAGCGUUCGUAGGCGGUUGAAUAAGCAAGAUGUGAAAGCCCAGGGCUCAACCUUGGAACUGCAUUUUGAACUGUUCGACUAGAGUACUGUAGAGGGUGGUGGAAUUUCCAGUGUAGCGGUGAAAUGCGUAGAGAUUGGAAGGGAACAUCAGUGGCGAAAGCGGCCACCUGGACAGAUACUGACGCUGAGGAACGAAAGCGUGGGGAGCGAACAG
This 717-nucleotide ribosomal RNA is filed under the name uncultured Colwellia sp. RNAcentral describes it as "bacterial SSU rRNA". It matches the Rfam family "Bacterial small subunit ribosomal RNA", at positions 67 to 775 of the family's 1533-position model. The record is from RNAcentral. Lineage: Bacteria; Pseudomonadati; Pseudomonadota; Gammaproteobacteria; Alteromonadales; Colwelliaceae.